This is a long non-coding RNA of Sebastes umbrosus (honeycomb rockfish), 854 nucleotides long. RefSeq lists it as uncharacterized. The record is from RefSeq and is a predicted model, not a curated record. The transcript has 3 exons. NCBI's taxonomy places the organism in Eukaryota, Metazoa, Chordata, Actinopteri, Perciformes, Sebastidae.
UCUUUGUGUGUGUGUGUGUGUGUGUGUGUGUGUGUGUGUGUGUGUGUGUGUGGAUCAGAGGGGCAGUGUGUGGCGCUCGGUGGGUGCCCUGGUGAGGUCAGAGUUCACAGUCCUGAUGGCCUGGGGAAAGAAACUCUGUCUCAGUCUCUCUGUUUUGGCAGCGUGGCUGCGGAGGCGCUUGCCUGACCGCAGCAGCUGGAACUGUCUGUGUUUGGGUUGUGAGAAUCCUUUCAUAAUCCAACAGGCUCUGGUUCUGCACCUCCUGGUGUUCAGGUCCUGUAGGGAGGGGAGUGUGGUUCCAGUAGUGCAUACUACUCUCUGCAGAGCCCUCCUGUCCUGCGCGGAGCUGUUGCCAAACCAGGCAGUGAUGCUACCUGUCAGGAUGCUCUCUACAGCUCCAGAGUAGAAAGACUGAAGGAUCCUCAGGGAGACUCUGAAUUUCUUCAGCUGUCGGAGGUGGUAAAGGCGCUGCCUGCCAGGCGCUGGAGUCAAAAACCUCGAAAUCAGUCUUUGGGAGUUGUUGGUGUCACUCUUUUCCUGCAUUUUUUUCAGCCACAUUACUAAUUGAGUCAUUCGUAAAUGACUAAAUACUGUAGUUAAUGUGAUGUCUGACACCAGAUGCCCACAAGUGAUGGGACAGGAGGAGGGAAACAACGAUUAUUCCUCUCUGGCACUCAUUUCUCCAAGGAUAGGAAGAUCUCCCUUAUUGCCAGUAGCACUUCCCAUAUGUAAGCAAGGAAAGAGAAUUACAGUCGACGUAAGAGAGACCACUCCUUGUUCCUCUGAGAAAUAGCAAAAAAAACAGUUCAAAUUGAUUCCCUAAAGGGUGUUGAUAUCUCGCCGUUGUUUCUCAA